RNAcentral lists this transfer RNA (86 nucleotides) under zebrafish metagenome. Its description in RNAcentral is "Selenocysteine transfer RNA". It matches the Rfam family "Selenocysteine transfer RNA". The record is from RNAcentral.
GGUCCUCGUCCCCGGUGGGGCGGCCGGUCUUCAAAACCGGAUGGGGCCGCCAGCGGUCCCGGGUGGGUUCGACUCCCAUGGCCUUC